GACGAACGCUGGCGGCGUGCUUAAUGCAUGCAAGUCGAACGAGAACCUCUUAGUAGGUAACUAUUGAGGGAUUUCUAGUGGCGAACGGGUGAGUAACACGUGAGCAACCUGCCCCGAAGACCGGGAUAGCCCAUGGAAACGUGGAUUAAUACCGGAUACCCUCGCGGAACCGCAUGAUUCUGCGAGGAAAUGCUCCGGCGCUUUGGGAUGGGCUCGCGGCCUAUCAGCUAGUUGGUGAGGUAACGGCUCACCAAGGCACUGACGGGUAGCUGGUCUGAGAGGACGAUCAGCCACACUGGGACUGAGACACGGCCCAGACUCCUACGGGAGGCAGCAGCAGGGAAUAUUGCACAAUGGGCGCAAGCCUGAUGCAGCGACGCCGCGUGAGGGAUGAAGGCUUUCGGGUUGUAAACCUCUUUCAGUGGGGAAGAAGCGCAAGUGACGGUACCCACACAAGAAGGCCCGGCCAACUACGUG
RNAcentral lists this ribosomal RNA (477 nucleotides) under uncultured bacterium. Its description in RNAcentral is "bacterial SSU rRNA". It matches the Rfam family "Bacterial small subunit ribosomal RNA", at positions 28 to 507 of the family's 1533-position model. The record is from RNAcentral.